UUUCCCCAAUUACAUACACUGAUACGUACAGAGAUCCAAAAUCCUAAAUCCCCAACUCAAACGCGAUUGUUCAUCGUCUCCUUCACGUUAGAGCCGCGUUCAACUCCAAAUCUCAGGCGAGUAAGCUCCAAUUCAACCCACGUGUUCCCUCUCUCUCCUCAUCACCAUAUUGGUAACGGUAUCUGACAGAUUCUCUCGUCCCCGUCCCCUUCUCACCCGAUGGAAGCCUCUAGAAGGCAUAUGCUGGAGAAUAGGAAGCGUGGGAUCGAUUUGGAUUGAUCCCAUCCCCUCAUUCAUCAGGUGUUGGCCUGAUAACUAGAGGAUUUUAUUGGAUAGAAGGAGGAGGAAUUUGUGGAGAUUUUUCGGAGGGAUUUCGGAUUUUAGAGAGAUUUUUGGGAGUAAAAAUUUGAAGAAAAGGCUUAAGGUUUUUUCAGAGCUGCUCGUUUCCUCUUCUCUAAAAAAUUUCUUCCAAAAGUUACUCAUAAAGGUUAAGAAUAAGAUACCUAUAUUUUUUUAAGUUUUGAGUCUGGCUUUUGAAUUCGAAAGAAAUAACAAUGAAUUGAGGUCAUUUGAUUGGUGGUGAGAUUCAAGUUCGUCGACUUUGAUUUUCUACUAAUGUUGUACUAUUUUUCUGCUGAACCUCGCUAGGAUUUUUGGAAUUCAAAAGUGUAUUUGUUGUUUAUCCUGUAAUUAUUAUAAAGGGAAUUUGUAAUUUCGGGUUCGAUUUCCUCUUUUAUCUGACCUUAUUCUUUAAGUGUUCCUGAGCUGUGAAAUUCUGUCCAAAAUGGUGUUUUGUUCUGUAAUUAGAUUUCUUGUUGGUGAAUCUCUUCUCAAUGGUGUGAUGUAUUUGAGUAUGUUUAGUCAGUAAAUGAUGAUUUUGACUGGUCAUCUUCUAUGCACGUAUGCUUUAACUGUUAUUAGGGCGUCUAGUUUUCAUUUUAGUCAAGAUUUCAUCAAUUUCAAAUAAACGAUUGCGUUAAGCUUUAAGAUUGUAUGGAUUCUUGAAGGUAUCACAUACUAUUAGUUUAAGUCGACUGGUUCUCCUAAUAUUUGCAAAGUUAUCCUACUAUAACUGGUUAGUCUGUUAGCGUAAAGCUGCUCUUGUUUGUUGAAACUGGGAGUUUGAAUCAUGGUUUUGCUUGAUUCUGAACAUGACAUUGUGAGUAUGAAGCAAUCCAUUUAAGGUGUUAUUAGUUUCUGUUCGAUAGGCUCUCAUGAGAAGGAUAUUGGAGUCCUCUUUUCAUUAGUUUAUUAGCAUGAGUAUGCUAAAGCUUGUCUUGUGUGCUUAAAGUAAUUUAGUGUUUGAAGUUGUCCUCAUCAUUUUCCUAUUAAUGACAUGUUAAAGUUCUAGUGUUUGAGGUUCUGUUGCUAAGAUCGUUGAAUCAGACCCUUAUCCAUUUAAGCUUGGAAACAAAUUUCUUGUUAAUUGUUUGG
RNAcentral lists this long non-coding RNA (1434 nucleotides) under Nicotiana benthamiana. RNAcentral describes it as "long non-coding RNA (NBEN_LNC025236)". The record is from RNAcentral. Lineage: Eukaryota; Viridiplantae; Streptophyta; Magnoliopsida; Solanales; Solanaceae.